UACAGAGGUCCCAAGCGUUGUUCGGAUUUACUGGGCGUAAAGGGUGCGUAGGUGGCGAGGUAAGUUUGAUGUGAAAUCUCCGAGCUCAACUCGGAAACGGCAUUGAAUACUAUCCCGCUUGAGGGUCGGAGGGGAGACUGGAAUUCUCGGUGUAGCAGUGAAAUGCGUAGAUAUCGAGAGGAACACCAGUGGCGAAGGCGAGUCUCUGGACGACUCCUGACACUGAGGCACGAAAGCUGGGGGAGCA
This 247-nucleotide ribosomal RNA is filed under the name uncultured bacterium. Its description in RNAcentral is "partial 16S ribosomal RNA". It matches the Rfam family "Bacterial small subunit ribosomal RNA", at positions 524 to 770 of the family's 1533-position model. The record is from RNAcentral.